Molecule: ribosomal RNA, 661 nt
Filed under: uncultured bacterium
Lineage: Bacteria
Description: bacterial SSU rRNA
Rfam family: Bacterial small subunit ribosomal RNA
Source: RNAcentral
CUGGCUGUGUGCUAAUACUGCAUGUCGAACUACGCACUUGUGCUUAGUGGCAAAUGGGUGAGUAACACGUACUUAAUCUACCCCCAAGUUUGGGAUAACAGUUGGAAACAAUUGCUAAUACCAAAUACAUAUAAGUUUUGCAUAAUUCUUAUAUAAAAGGAGCGUUUGUUUCGCUAGGGGAUGAGAGUGCGCUACAUUAGUUAGUUGGUAGGGUAAGAGCCUACCAAGACUAUGAUGUAUAGCGGGGCUGAGAAGCUGAACCGCCACACUGGGACUGAGAUACGGCCCAGACUCCUACGGGAGGCAGCAGUAGGGAAUAUUCCACAAUGAGCGAAAGCUUGAUGGAGCAACACAGCGUGCAGGAAGACGACCUUAGGGCUGUAAACUGCUGUUAUGAGGGAAGAAAAAUAAAAUUAGGAAAUGAAUUUUACAUGACGGUACCUCAUCAGAAAGCACCGGCAAACUAUGUGCCAGCAGCCGCGGUAAUACAUAGGGUGCAAGCGUUAUCCGGAAUUAUUGGGCGUAAAGUGUCUGUAGGUGGUAUGUUAAGUCUAGUGUUAAAGACUAGGGCCCAACCCUAGCACGCUUCUAGAUACUGACAUGCUAGAGUCAUAGAGACGUUAGCGGAACUCCUAGUGAAGCGGUGAAAUGCGUAGAUAUU